Molecule: long non-coding RNA, 1724 nt
Organism: Asparagus officinalis (garden asparagus)
Lineage: Eukaryota; Viridiplantae; Streptophyta; Magnoliopsida; Asparagales; Asparagaceae
Exons: 2
Source: RefSeq, a predicted model, not a curated record
AAUAAAAACCCAAUAAUAAUUUCUGUUAGUUGGAUUGAGUUAGUUGUUUGAUAACAAGGUCUUUCUCUUAUGAAACCUUGUCUUUCUCUUACAGAAGACCAGAUUGUCUUGUGGGUCUCUUACAGAAGAGGAUACUUGAGUUUAAGCUUCAUGAUGAGAUUUAUUAUUUUAAAAAAAUCUUAUGACUAGACAUCCUGAUUAACUUAUAACAUGGUUUGCAAUUGUCUUCUGGAUUAUUGAAACCACCAACCUGACACAGGAGCCAACUCUUCUUGUUUUCUUUUGUAACUUGAUAAGAGCCCAACAGGAUACAUGAAGGAAUAUGUAGGUUAUAGCAACAUUGCAUAGAAAGGUAAGUGAGGCAAGUAGUUUUCUGUUCAUUGGCGGAAUUUUGCAGCUUCUCGGAAAUAAUCCAAGGUUGUCUUGUGGGUCAUACUAAUAAAAUUGCAACUCCUUGAGAGGUUUGAAAUAGAACUGAGGAAAAUUUAAACUCUCAAACAUGUUGAUUCUCAUUUCUAAUGUUUCAAACUCUUUACAUUUCUGAAACAUGCAUCUGACCCAAUGAUAAAAUCCACGGCGGUCCAUAAACUAUUGAACAAUGAAGCGUAGAAGAUAUAAUGCAGCUAUUAAACAAUAAAGAGUAAACGAUAUAAAGACUGAAUAUGAACCAGAAUAUAAUGAAUUUUACACAUAUUCUAAAGCAAGUUACAAGGUCUUUCUCUUAUGAAACCUGGUCUUUCUCUUAUCGGCCAAUAUUCUUCACAUUGAUCUGCUUAUUUUAAUUAUUUGAUGGAUUAUGUAGUGGUUUUGGAUUGAGUUAGUGGUUAGAUAACUAGGUUCAUAAAUUCAUUGGUGGUUACUGAAGUAUUACGAGGACUAUGUCAGUUGUUUUUUUGUUCCUAUAAUGUCAUUCUCAGAUAUUAGUUUUUGGCAAAGUUUAUCUUUGAUAUAUGUUUCCUGAAAUGUUCAUUAUCAUGUCACAUUCUGGCUGAUCAAAAUUUACGUUAUAUGAUAGUUAAAGUUGGUAACUUUUGAAAGGGGCCAAGUUUUGACUUUGUUCUACUGGGUAUGCUGUGACUUGCUGUGAGAAAAGUGAAAUGUUCGCUUCGUUAGUCAUUGAUCACGGUUAGAAUUCCAAGCAAGAAAAAGGGACAAACCCUUGUAGUUCAAAUUUUUUGUCAAUUAUUAUUUUUCAAUUGCGAUGAAUAUGCAAACUUUUGUAUCUGUAGCCGUGAAUCAUGGAGUCAUCUUCAAGCAAUCGUCAUGGACUGUUGUGCCAUUGUGAAAGGAGGGCUAUACUCUCUAGAUCUGGAACUAAGACGAACCCUGGUCGAUUGCUUUUGGGAUGCGCUAAUUGAAAAGUGAGUAAUUGUGGAUUCUUCAAAUGGGUAUCUGAUGAAGAGGAGUUUGAAGGUUCAAAGACAGGGCUUGUUCAGACAAAGCUGUCGAGCGUGAGGCCGCAAGUUUCAAGAGCCGUGUCAAGUGGAGAAUUGCGGGAAAAGAGAAAGAUUGAGAUUGAUAUUAUGGAUUUGUUGAAGCUUGUUGUAUUUGCUCUUUUAUUUGGUAUUUUUCUUGGAUUUGUAUUUGGUAUUUUUAUUGGAUUUGUGCUAAGUAGAGUGUAAGAAUGUAUUAUCUUUCUUUGUGGAAGUGUAUGUUGAUGAGAACUUCUAGUGUUCUGGAUUUGUAUCUUCAGACAAAUUAGAAUAGUAAUUUGUUUUAUACUC